UACGGAGGGUGCAAGCGUUGUUCGGAAUUACUGGGCGUAAAGCGCACGUAGGCGGAUUGUUAAGUCGGGGGUGAAAUCCUGGAGCUCAACUCCAGAACUGCCUUCGAUACUGGCGAUCUCGAGUUCGGGAGAGGUGAGUGGAACUGCGAGUGUAGAGGUGAAAUUCGUAGAUAUUCGCAAGAACACCAGUGGCGAAGGCGGCUCACUGGCCCGAUACUGACGCUGAGGUGCGAAAGCGUGGGGAGCAAACAGG
This 253-nucleotide ribosomal RNA is filed under the name uncultured bacterium. RNAcentral's name for it is "partial 16S ribosomal RNA". It matches the Rfam family "Bacterial small subunit ribosomal RNA", at positions 524 to 776 of the family's 1533-position model. The record is from RNAcentral.